ACCCAGAUGAUGAGUCCCAAAUAGGACGAAAUGAGCGUCCUAGAU
This 45-nucleotide non-coding RNA is filed under the name Schistosoma margrebowiei. Lineage: Eukaryota; Metazoa; Platyhelminthes; Trematoda; Strigeidida; Schistosomatidae. The record is from RNAcentral.